This 498-nucleotide long non-coding RNA is filed under the name Ricinus communis (castor bean). RNAcentral describes it as "long non-coding RNA (RCOM_LNC001246)". The record is from RNAcentral. Lineage: Eukaryota; Viridiplantae; Streptophyta; Magnoliopsida; Malpighiales; Euphorbiaceae.
GCCAUAUUUCUCUUUUACUAAACCCUAAAAUUUCGAAAUUAAGAAAUUAAAGAAAAAAAAAAAAGGAACGCAGGUGAAGUUAAAUUAGUGAACAUUCUUUCUUUCUUUUUCUUUUCUUGUUUGUUCAAUUAAUACCUUAAAUAACUCUCAACACAGUAAUUGAAGAAGCCCUAAUAACAGUCAUCAUUCAAUUGACAUCGAAACUUGAAAAUAAGAAAGAAGAGGAACUAGACCCAGUGAAAUAGAUUAAGCAGGUAACUGCGAGAAAAUAUCAAAAUUGAAAUUGGAAUCCAAUUCGAAGGGAAGGUACCUUAAUAUUGUGGCGGUGUAGCUGUCCGAACCCAACUCCGAAUAAGAGAACCAACCAGCCUCAGUUUAGGGCCGAUUUUCUUUUCUUUUGUGUUUCUGUUUUUUCUCUUCGAUGACAAAUGGCAAUUGAAAAGAUACGAGGCCAAAGGCUAAAAAAGUGCUUAAGCUAUUUGGAAAAUUUCAAUUAUC